UUUUAAUCUCAAAGUACUCAAAUGUCUCAAAAUACUCCAAAAACAAGAAUUGUUGAAAUACAAUUUAACAAACGAAUACAUAAAAUAUAUUCAAAACUAACUAUCUAUGAAUCCUCUGUUGUUCCAGAUGGAUGUUGGGACAAGAUCCACGACACCUCAAAAUAACUAACUAAAAGAUGAAAGUAGAGUCCUCUAGAAUGCAAGGAGGCUCACCAAAGCUAAUUGGAAGUGCAAGUGAUCUCAACGAAGCGCCUGUUGAUGAUCCUGAAUACCUGUAUAUUCAUUAUAAAAAGAUGCAGGUCGAAUGAUAUUAGUACAUUGAAUGUAUGAGUAUGUAAUAUCGCGAAAGCAAAAUACCUGAAUGAAAGGACUACAAUAGAUAUAAAUAUAUACUCAACUGUAAGUAAAUAAAUAAAAGAGUGAAAAUAUUUAAACUUUACAAAUACUUACUCAACUCUGAACUCAACAUAUUAAGUGAUAUGAUAAAAAUACACUUUUAACUCUAUCUAGGAGAUUCUCUAACUGAUAACCAUCACUAUAAGCAAUGCAAUGGUACAACGUCUCGCUCAUGCUGCUAGAACUGUCAUAUACCUUGCGGGGAUAUAGAACAUCUCAGCUAAGUGGAUCCACUAAGGCUCUGCUUGAAAGCAAUAAGGAGUCGUCUAAAAAGUACGAUCUUUUACCCAUGUUGGCUACAUGGUUUAUGAGGAAUGUGAGUUGUCUGAACUCAUCCCCAUAUCAGUGCUCAAUACUACUCCCAAUAAAUAUAUACUCAUGCUAAAAUGUAUAAAACAUAUUCUUUCUCAAUUUUGAGGUAAUUUCUCAAAAUAUCCUCUUUAAAGAGGUAAUGCUCUGAAAUAUCUCUAAACUCGUUAACUCAUUUAGAAAUCAAAAUAUCUUUUUUCUCAAUGUAAAAAAGUGAUACAUUUGGGAAUACUUAGUUCCCUUAUACUCUUACUCAAAUCAUGUUUAAAUCUCUUUCUCAAAACUCAUCUUUCCUUUCUCCGAAAAUCAGUUUAAGAUAAAAAUAUUUACUUGAAAAGAUUCUCAAAAAUUAUAACUCAAAAUAGGGUUCAUGCUGAAAUAUAAACAUGAACACCUCAACUCAAGGAUCUCAAUAACAAUAUAGAAAACUCAAUACUAAGAAAUCCAAAACUCACAACUCAAUGAUACUACUCAUCUCAAGAAUACUCAAAAUUCAUGAUAAAAUCCUAGAUUACUCUGUUACUGAAUUUAGAUAGAUGUAAGGCGUGAGGACGAACUCAGUUUGCCACUAUGAUAGCCUUACAUACUUGGAAGAACAAAGUUCUUGGUAAAAUCGGUGAAAACUCGAAGAAUGCUUAAAACAUUAGAUUUCUCCUCUUGGAUCAUUGCUCUAAGACUUGGAAGCGCGUUAAUGAACGUAAAAGGAUUGAUUAACACUGUUCAAACCCUUAACUAGGUGUAAAAAUAUCGUGGUUUAGACUUAGAAGAGGUGGGAAAAGACUAAACUAUCCCUCUUUAAAACUAACGAAAACCUUCCACAUGUCCAUCUACGGUAUCUACGGACCGUAGAUCCCAUCUGUGGAAUUUAUAUUGAAUUUUAAGGCUCAAAAUUUUAUUCUAUGAAUCCAAUCUACAUACUACAUGUAAACCUCCUUAAAAUAUGUGAUUCCAAUAGUACUUGGGGAUCACAAGCCUAUAGCAUUUUGUGUUUUGUUAAUCCUCAUGGUAAAAUUCAUGAUUUUAAUGUUACUUAUAAGAUAAUGUUGAAUUCUCAUACAAAUAAUCGAGUCCUGAAUAUGGAGAAAAUCCUAUUGGGAGCGCCAUCCCCGAAAGGGCCCUGCAGUGCGUGAUCUGGAUUUAGUCGGAACUCCAAUGUGGGCUCCGGACGGAAAACCAAAAAGACUUUUUCAAUAGGAGCUAAAUCCAAGUGAUGUUGGAUUUUAUAGGCUUAUAUACCUAAGAAAUAUGCAACAAAGUAUUUUCUUCAAAUCCAAAGAGAGGACAUGGGCUUUUAUGAUGCAUAAAGAGACUAUGAAAGUUUAGAUAUUGUUAUUGUAAAAGAAAUAAAUUUUUUUUACACAAAGGGUUGGCAUAAAUUUGUGAAAGCUAAAGGUUUAAGAGCAAAUGAUACAAUUAUUUUCACAAAUAAUUGUACCUUUUGCUCUUAAACCUCCGUCUUUCACAAACUUAUGCCAACCCUUUUGGAAAAUAAUUUUUUUGAUUUCUUUUGCAAUAACAAUACCCGAACUUCCAUAAUCUGCUUGAUAUAUCAUAAAAUCUCACGUUCACUUUGGAUUUAAGAAAAAUAAAUACGUUAUUGCAUAUUUCUUAGGUAAAUACAAGACUAGAAAGUCCAACAUCAUCCAUCAUUAUCCUAAGUAACAUUGAAAUCAUGAAUUUUACCAAAAAAAUUAACAAAAACACAAGAUACUAUAGGCUUUUGAUCCCUAAGUAAUAUUUUAAUAUCACAUUUUAAAAAGGGUUACAUAUAGUAUAUAGAUAUCCUCGUGGUGGUAACCUGACAGUAUACAAAUCAUUACACUAAUGGUGUAUAUAAUUUAAACUCUUACGAAUUUAUAUUUUUUGUGAAUCGUUGUAUGUAAAUAUCUCUGGUAUGACAUGCAACAACAACAACAUACAUAUCUAGUGUAAUCCCACAAGUGACAUAUAGGGAGAGUAGUGUCUACACAUACCUUAGGACAAUGACCAUUAUGUUGGCCUACAACACCUUUGAGUCUUCAUCUAGAAUUGCAAGUUUUUUUCUCACAUGCAUGAAUCUUGUAUAUUUUGGGCAAUAGAUGAUUGCUCGCUCUUAAAAUGCAAUCACCAACUGUUACGUAUGUGAUUGUACUUGAUAUUAAGGUCAUUUCGUCUUUUAUGUUGCAU
This 2871-nucleotide long non-coding RNA is filed under the name Solanum tuberosum (potato). RNAcentral's name for it is "long non-coding RNA (STUB_LNC007890)". The record is from RNAcentral. Lineage: Eukaryota; Viridiplantae; Streptophyta; Magnoliopsida; Solanales; Solanaceae.